Molecule: long non-coding RNA, 227 nt
Filed under: Brassica napus (rape)
Lineage: Eukaryota; Viridiplantae; Streptophyta; Magnoliopsida; Brassicales; Brassicaceae
Description: long non-coding RNA (BNAP_LNC003868)
Source: RNAcentral
AGGAACAUAAUCAAACUAACAACCAUUUGGAGAACUAAAGAUGGACUUUGAUAUGUGUUGUGAACAAAGACGAAUUAAUUCGAAAAAAAAGUAAAAGAGAGUAAAAAAUGUAUUGAGGCAAAUACUCGUUUAGUGUUUUUUUAUUAUUAUGUGAAUGAAUAAACUUACAAACCAUUAGAUCCGUAUUUAUAGCAGCCUCAAAAACUGUUUUUUUUUCUAUAUGAAUA